Molecule: small RNA, 337 nt
Filed under: Histoplasma ohiense
Lineage: Eukaryota; Fungi; Ascomycota; Eurotiomycetes; Onygenales; Ajellomycetaceae
Description: hypothetical lncRNA
Source: RNAcentral
AUCAAUAUUCACCAGGAUCUUACCCUUCCUCCAGCCACAGCCAGACUGAAUCGUAUAAUUUCCAGCGAAUCCAGAACCAAGACGUAUCAAACUCAGCGGUGUUCAAUCCCCAUUUUUUCUUUUUCUUUUUUUCUUUUUCUUUUCUUUUCUUUUCUUUUUUUUUUUUGCUCCGCUUCAAUCCCUUUUUACUUUACUCUUCUCCUCCAGUUUGGUGAUAGACAGACUUGUGACGACAUAAUCAUGUCCCUGCACUGCACUGACGGAGCACCGUUACAUUGUCAUCGCCUAUCAAGCGCGAGUGGAUCAGGGUAUAGAAUGGUAGACAACAACCGACGGC